Molecule: ribosomal RNA, 2342 nt
Filed under: Triticum aestivum (bread wheat)
Lineage: Eukaryota; Viridiplantae; Streptophyta; Magnoliopsida; Poales; Poaceae
Description: partial small subunit ribosomal RNA
Source: RNAcentral
GGGAAGAGGGAGGGUCUAGGUUAGGUUCAGUCUUGGCGAGCGGGAGGGCGGGGCCGGAGGUAGAGGUAAGAACGCGUGCAGCCGGUGGAGGGAGGCCGCCUCAAGCUGGGGGUGGGGGUUCGUGGCAACGAGGUGGGAGAGGGCGCGGGUAGGUGUCUAGCUCGCUACCCACUCCGUCUCGGGUCUAGCUAGCGGGACGGCCUUACUCUACGCCGUGGUCUACGGUUAGCCCUGGAGAUAGACCUAGCUCGUCGGCGAGAGGUGGUUGCCCCGAACCCGACCGACCGCAGGGUACAACUGCAGGAGAAGGGAGGGUGAGGGCCGUUGCGCGAGCCAGAGGCGUCGGCCGGAGUGGCGGUCCUAAACGCACCUCUACCGCGCCCACGACCGCCGUGCGCCCCGCGCCGUGGGUGCAGCAGUAUCGGCGGACCUUGGAGCGGCGGCGGCUCUGGUACGCGGUCCGGCAGGACCGGCUCUGGGGACCGCGCUCGCACCUGCACUACCUCGGAAGCAGGCGUUGAAGAAUAAGGAGCCGCACUACCUCGACCUACAACUCGCCCUAGGCAGGCAUCUCGGUAGGGAAAGGGAGGAAGCAGCGGAGGCAGGCGUUGAAGCGUAGGCUGAAGCGACUGUCCCCGGAUGGCGAGUUGUAAGAGGACAUGCGCUUCCGGCGCUCGCGGUUCCGCGUGGAGUGUGCGCCCCGACGGCCGUUCUUCCUGCAUCCGCUCCGGAAGAGGCAGAAGUACCCGCUCAAGGCGUUCCUCAAGUUCGUCUUCUUGGGGUUCUUGUUCAGACAGCGACGACAUCCGUUUCGUCGGCCACCCUCCACCUUCUCGAACUCGCUCAGUUAGUACCACAUGGUCGAAACGUUCCCGCAACGAAAAACGGUGCCUACGCCACAGGCCGUGGUACUGGAACUCGGUGUGUUGGACGUUUAACCACCUACCCAACCAUAGGAGACCAAACUAGGGUCGUUCUCCUUCACAAGGGAAGUGAAAUAGUUGGUUUCCGUGAAAGAAGAGAGUACCUACCUACCCUGAGGUAGUUAAAUCAUAGUCAAAUCCACAAUCAUACGACAAAUACGAACACAACUACGGUACGAAAAACAGAACAGUACACGACUAUAAUUGACCGUCGUAGUCGAGGGUACUAACGAACGAACGAAUGAGAUAUUGGACAUGACGAUUUUGUACAAUAGGAUGAGGUACUACGAUAUAGUAAACGUUUAUGAGAACCUGUAGUCGAGGGUACUACAACGUAAUCGAUAUUAGACAUGACGAUUUUCUCCUCACAUUUGACCUCAUUAAAAAGUCGGUAACAUAAACAAAAGAAAACCCGCCUACGAGAGGUGAACUCAUGUCGACCCAUGACGUAAAGAAAAACGUAAGGAAAAAGUCAGUCACGAACUUGUAAAAAAUUUCUACUUAACCUUAUGAGGACCUGUCGUCAUGUACCUCAUAUCGACAUUGAAGAACGUCAUAUCAACAUCGUCAGGUAAUCCUCAUCAAAACGUAGUCAUCGUAAUCCUCAUUGAAGAACGUCUUUGAGAAACUGUGUAUAACAGUACGUAGUCAUCGUACAAACGAACAAAACCUCGUCGCUAAUUAAUGAACAUUACAAAAAGAACAGACUCGUGUGUGUGAUUUACUUUGAAAAAAUCUAUUAAUAAUAAUUGACUUUGACAAUACAUGUACUUAUAUCAGAUAGAUGUCGAUCAAUGUAUACACCACGUUAACACAUCUUGAUGAUCAUGAUACGAACUCUAAACUAGUAAUUAUCACAUAGAUGUUAACAUGUACAUAUAUCACAUAGACAUCAUGACAUGAGGGAGGCAUUUGAUUAUAUUCUCGCAAAUCUUAUGAUUUCAUCAAUAGAUUUGCGAGAAUAUAAUCAAAUGUCUCCCUCAUUAUAAGAACUCAGAACUAGGUUUGGUAUAAUUAACAACGAUCACUAAAAUAAUAGAUGAAAAACGUAGUAGACUUGUAGAAAAACGACGACGUAUCAAAGAGUGAGUACUAACUAGAUAACGAUCCACUUACUCCAAAAGUUUAUAACUUCCUCCUGUUAUACUUGAUGACAAGACAGAAUAGUAGAUUUGAAGACAAAAUUAAAAGAAACAGCAUCUUAUCAAAACAAACCGUGAAUGACAAGGACCCUACAUUUCUAUACAUAACGAUCUUACUUACCAACAUUAUAUUCGUUAUAAUAUAAAACCCGAGGAUAUUGUAACGUUCAACGAAACUUUUACAUAGUCUUGACCCGAUCCGGGUUCUAUCGAACACCACACUAUAAAAAAAUACAGUUACCGUAUUAUAAAAAAACCUAACCUAGUCAAUAAAGCC